This 595-nucleotide unclassified non-coding RNA is filed under the name Hevea brasiliensis (rubber tree). The record is from RNAcentral. Lineage: Eukaryota; Viridiplantae; Streptophyta; Magnoliopsida; Malpighiales; Euphorbiaceae.
AAAAAAUUUAGAUUAAACCACAAGCUUAAAAAUAUGUUUUAAAACUAGAAGUAGAUAAAUCAGUUGCAGAGGUAUGUUUGCUUGGAGAAUUCUAUAUAUAACACCAGCAGAAUGCGAGUUUUGGCAUCGGUUGGCCUUGUUUGUUUUCCUGUUUCAUGUAUUCAUUAAAGAGAAGUGUGAAGAUUAUCUCAAGCAGCAGUUUCAUACUUCUCAUUUUUCUAGCCUUCAUCACAGGAUUUAUACAAGCAAAUGCCCAAGCAAAAUUAAUACGUCUGGUGUAAUAACACAGUGAGCCGAUGUUAAGAGAGUAUGUGAAGUCUCCGACAGAUGCCCCAGCACUUGCUCAGAAUACCCCCAAAGCCAAAGUUUGCUAUGUCAAUUUUUAUUGAUCUCUACACUGCAAGCCUCAGUGCAAGCUUAAAAUCUUCCUAAAUUUCUGUCUGCAAAAGUGGCAAAUGGCAGCAAAGUAUAGAGUGAUUAGGAUUAAACAGGUGUUUUGAUAUUUUUCAGAUCACAAAGCAGAUUGUAUAACUCUAGGAUUGGCAUGCUAUAUAAAGAUUCGGGAAAUGAAUUGAAUGUGUGAGAUAAGAGUAAU